Cyprinus carpio carpio is the source of this 143-nucleotide small nucleolar RNA. The record is from Ensembl. Lineage: Eukaryota; Metazoa; Chordata; Actinopteri; Cypriniformes; Cyprinidae.
CUUCAGUGAUGAUACGAUGACGAGUCGGAUCGAGGCCCGUCUCUGAGGACUCUGGCUCAGGCUCACGUUCUGUGCGGCUGAUUCAGUUCCUCAGAUCACGUGUCCUCUCAGAUUGAAGAUGUAGAGGCAUUUGUCUGAGAAGG